UACAGAGGGUGCGAGCGUUAAUCGGAAUUACUGGGCGUAAAGGGUGUGUAGGUGGAUAGGUAAGUUAGAUGUGAAAUCCCCGGGCUUAACCUGGGAACUGCGUUUAAAACUGCUUGUCUAGAGUAAUGUAGAGGAUAGUGGAAUUUCCAGUGUAGCGGUGAAAUGCGUAGAUAUUGGAAGGAACACCAGUGGCGAAGGCGACUAUCUGGACAGAUACUGACACUGAGACGCGAAAGCGUGGGGAGCAAACAGG
This 253-nucleotide ribosomal RNA is filed under the name uncultured bacterium. RNAcentral's name for it is "partial 16S ribosomal RNA". It matches the Rfam family "Bacterial small subunit ribosomal RNA", at positions 524 to 776 of the family's 1533-position model. The record is from RNAcentral.